RNAcentral lists this unclassified non-coding RNA (236 nucleotides) under plant metagenome. RNAcentral's name for it is "partial contains small subunit ribosomal RNA, internal transcribed spacer 1, and 5.8S ribosomal RNA". The record is from RNAcentral.
UUUCCGUAGGUGAACCUGCGGAAGGAUCAUUACCGAGCGAGGGCCCUCUGGGUCCAACCUCCCACCCGUGUCUCUUGUACAUCGUUGCUUCGGCGGGCCCGCCUCACGGCCGCCGGGGGGCAUCUCGCCCCCGGGCCCGCGCCCGCCGAAGACACCCACGAACUCUGUCUGAAGAAUGGAGUCUGAGUGAAAUGAUAAAUUAUUUAAAACUUUCAACAACGGAUCUCUUGGUUCCG